AUAAGUGCUCCUAUCUUCUCCGUUCUUCGCAUGCGAGCGAAAUCGAAUCUCUCCCUCUCGCGAAGCCGAAGCCUUCUCUCCCAGCUCCCUCUAUUCUCCUCCUCCUUUGUUGCUGAUCGACUUCGCUCCUUUGACGGCUUGCCUUUCCGAUCGGAUCGGAAGACACGACACUUUGUCGGAGGCCAGAUGAGAGUUCGCUGACUGGGAAACCCUAGUCGCACGCCUCUUUGCCACAUUCGUUGCUGGUCAGUUUCGCCCCGUCUACAUCAUUCCCUUCCUGAUCUAUACGAAAGUUAGAACAUUUUUGUCGCAAGUAACUUGGGAGCACGCACGUUGUUAAGGUUUUGAUCUUUCUGGUCUGUUUGAAGCAUCUGAGUGCAAGAGAAUGGUAAGAUUCACAUCCUCUAAGCCAGCUUCCAGUAUUAUUUUGAAGCUCGAGGAGGUUGCUAAGCAAUUAAGUUUGAAGAAAGAAGGAUGUAGGUGUUUUGAAAAUGGAAGAAAUAAAAGGUGGAAAGGAAGUUUUGGCCUUUGAUGUUGAGAUAUUUGAGCUGACUCCUUCAUUUCAUAUGGUUGAAAUCACUCAGAGCAAUGGAGAUACAUUAGAGUAUCAGAAGCUCUGGGAGCAGGAGAUGAAACCAGCUCUUAAGGAUAUUGUGUAGCGUUGGAUUCAAGAUCUAAAAAUUGUGACUUUGGCAAAAAGUGAUUUCUACUAUUUCUAUUUGUGUUUAGAAUGUUGAAGUGAUUAGCUAUAUGGAUUGUUUUUUCAGCAUUGUUGGGUUGAGUCUGUUGCACUAUUAAAUAUGUUUAAUAAAUGUUGUUGAUUUAUAUUAA
This is a long non-coding RNA of Dendrobium catenatum, 831 nucleotides long. RefSeq lists it as uncharacterized. Lineage: Eukaryota; Viridiplantae; Streptophyta; Magnoliopsida; Asparagales; Orchidaceae. The transcript is spliced from 2 exons. The record is from RefSeq and is a predicted model, not a curated record.